This 505-nucleotide ribosomal RNA is filed under the name uncultured bacterium. Its description in RNAcentral is "bacterial SSU rRNA". It matches the Rfam family "Bacterial small subunit ribosomal RNA", at positions 46 to 525 of the family's 1533-position model. The record is from RNAcentral.
GGAUUAGGCAUGCAAGUCGAACGCGAAAGGGUCCUUCGGGGCCUGAGUAGAGUGGCAAACGGGUGAGUAACGCGUGGGAAACCUGCCCUUGUGUUGGGGAUAACACUUCCAACGAGGUGCUAAUACCGAAUGUGAUUGUUGGAUCGCAUGUUCCGACAAUGAAAGGCGGCCUCUGCUUGCAAGCUGUCACACAAGGAUGGUCCCGCGUCCCAUUAGCUAGUUGGUGAGGUAAUGGCCCACCAAGGCAUUGAUGGGUAGCCGGCCUUAGCGGGUGUCCGGCCACACUGGGACUGAGAUACGGCCCAGACUCCUACGGGAGGCAGCAGUCGAGAGGCUUCUACAAUGGGGGAAACCCUGAUAGAGCGACGCCGCGUGGGUGAUGAAGGUCUUCGGAUCGUAAAGCCCUUUCAGCAGGGAAGAAUGGAUAGGUGCUAAUACCAUCACAUCCUAGACGGUACCUGCAGAAGAAGCUCCGGCUAACUCCGUGCCAGCAGCCGCGGUAAUA